This 21750-nucleotide long non-coding RNA is filed under the name Gossypium barbadense (sea-island cotton). Its description in RNAcentral is "long non-coding RNA (GBAR_LNC020333)". The record is from RNAcentral. Lineage: Eukaryota; Viridiplantae; Streptophyta; Magnoliopsida; Malvales; Malvaceae.
UCGAUAUGGGGUGCUGGUGGUGGGGGGCUUGCCCUAGGCAUGCCUAGAGGAAAGCCAUGCCCGGAAGUCGUUGCUCAAAGAGGAUCCGGUGACGAUGGUAUUCCGGUGAUAUUUUCUAAUUCGGACUCCAACGAUGGCGUUGUUCGCCUAUCCUCUGACAUAAACAUAGAGUUCAUUCCCCUCAGACCCAGAUUUUGCCAAACAACAACGGUGUGGAAGGUCGAUGAUUACGACCACUCAGCCGGAAAAUGGUGGGUGAUAACCGAUGGGGUUAAAGGGAACCCAGGUGCCAACACUUUGACCAGUUGGUUUAGAAUAGAGAAGGCGGGUGAUCUUGAUUACCCAUUUAAGUACUGCCCCGCUGUAUGUGGAACAUGCCCAGCCUUAUGCAACAAAAUUACGAGAGACUCAGAUGGAGAAAUGAUACGUUUGGCUCUCUCCGCUGGCCAUGGAUGGCCAUUUUUCUUUAAGAAAUUUCAAACAUCAGCCAUGGAGAUUGAACAAGUUGUUCAUAAUUAGAUUGAAAGCAAUCAUUAUGCAUGAACUAGUAGUUACUAUACAAUAUUAGCUUCAAGUAAAUAAUGCUGGGAGAACUGAUUGUUAAGAUUGCCUUGUUUGAAGCAGCAGCAUGUAUAUAUAUAUGCUUGCUUACAAGGUUUGUCUCUCAGAGUCCUUCUCUUUGUACUCUUUUCAGCUUAAUAUAUAAACUGUCUACUUAUUUACUUCUUUUAUUGCCAUUGAUUCUAGUAGUAUUAGACUCAUUAACUUGGAUACAUUGUCUUGUAAGAGAUAGCUUAUCUCUUAACAACUGUUUGGGUCAACAAAAUUAAUGUAUAUAUGAAAACGAAUAUUGAAUUUGGAUGUCCAAUCAAUUUUUUUAAUUAAUUAAUUAAAAAGAAUUGUUUUAAUUCAAAAAAUCUAAAAGAAUUUGAUAAAAAAUGUGGAAGGGCACACUUGUAUGAUGAAUAGUAGUGAUAAUAAUGAUAGAAGUCGUUUUCCUAGCACAAGUAUGGGAUUCGUCCAUUUGGUUUUAUAUUUAUCCACUUGCCUGAGUGUUUAAGAGUUAAAAAGGACAAAACUAUUAAGUAGAAAACACCAAACGAAUUGGAAGGCUUUUGUCUUCUUCAAUUAGUAUGACCUAUAUUUCUUAUUAAACUUCGUAUUUUACAUUCAAUAUCAUCAUCGCAAUCAUUUUAAUUUAUUUUCAUGAAUAAACUUUUAUGUCCCAUUUUAAUUGAAUCAUUAAAAAUUAUUAAUUGAAUUUUUUUUAAGUCAAGUGAUACUAAUUUGAUUUUUUUAAAAAAGUUGUUUGAAUUAAUUUGAUUUCGUGUCAUAAUUGACAUAAAUGGCCAUUGUGAAUGGCAACAUCAAUAGUUAUUGAGUACAGCGGCUAAAAUUUUCAGUUAAAAAAAAAAGAAUGAAAGGAAAACAAAAAGAAAAACGUGGAAAGAAAGAAAGAAAGAAAGAAUAAUAAUAAUAAUAAUAAUAAUAAAUAAAAUAGAAUUGUGGGGGCGAUGCUUUUGAACAAAUCUUGAUUUAAACUAUAUAAAGAAAAUAUGUGUUAUAUAUAUAAUUAAUUAUGUACUUAUACUUAAUAUAUUAUAUAUCUAAUGUCAUAUUUUCAUAUUCUCAGGAAGUGGUGACAUACAAAUACUUGAUUCGAUUUAUUUCUUUAGCUCCCCGUGAAUUGUAUGUUUGUAACAUUAGGGAUAGAAUUUCUUCAAUUAUCCAAUUGACUGGACGUAUUGUGUCGAUUUUUUUUUAGUAAUAUACCUAGAAAUACCCGUUGAUUCUUUAUAAACGCUGUUUCGAACACAACUGGUACACUCUAAAAUAAUUUACUUGAACAUCAUUACUCUUAGCCAUGAACCUCCUUUGAGUUUUUAAUUCACCCAACUUUUUUAUUUUCCGAUCAAAAGCAAAGAAGAAAGGAAUGAAAAGAAAAGAAAGAAAUCAAAGUUGCUAACUCAAAACCAAAUCCUGAAAAUUUUCAUUUCAAUGAAUAUAGUAAGUAAAUAUAGAUUUAUAGUAAUAGCAAAUAAUAAGAAUUAAGUAAUAUAACGAUUUUUAAUUCUAUUUAGAAUCAAUUAAAAUAUUCAAAUAAAUAUUCAAUUAAAAUAAAUUAAACUGUAUAAAUUUUAUAAUUUUAAAUUAUUAUUUUUGUAUUAAUUUAAAAACAAAAUAAAUAUUAUAUACAAUGAUUUAGUUACAGCGUGUCAGCUUGAAGUCUAAGACUUUAUAACAUAUAAAUUUAAUAGAUAAUUAAUAACUAAAAAAUUAAAUAGCAAAAGCAUAAUUGCGCCACUUCUCACCAUUUUAAUGUAUGCAACUUAUUAUAUAUUUAUAUAUAUUAUCAUUUUAUUUUAAAUAAUUUAAUUUUAUAAAUUUAGGGAUAAAUCUCAAAAUUAUACAUGAACUUUAAUUUAAUAUGCAAUUGUAUAUAUAAACUUUAAUUUGGUACAAUUAUACACGUGAUACUUUAAUUGUGGUUUAAAUACUCACUUGAAACUUUAGUUUUGAUUUAAUAAUGCAUAUUUAAAUAAAUAAAUACAUCAAUUUUUUUAUAUUGGGUAAAUAUAAUUAUUUAUGUAUGCAAUAUAUAACAUAAAAUGAUGUUAUAUCAAUAAUUGUGUUAAUAAUUUUCAAGAAUUGGAUCAAAUCAAAAUUUCAUGUAUAAAAUUGAACAAAAUCAAAGUUAAUGUAUACAAUUGCACAUUAAACCAUAAUUCAUGUAUAUUUUUUUGUAUAUAUCCCAUAAAUUUAUUUCAUUAACUUUUUACCUAUAUCAUAUAUAGAGUUGUUCGUGAACCGAGCCAAGGAAUGCCUGCUCGAAAAAAUGAGAGGGUUUGGCAAAAAAAUAUAUGCCUAAAAAAUGGGCUUGGAUAAAAAGACAAGGCCCGUUUAGAAAAUGAACCGGCAUUGAGUAGGGUUUUUUUGUCCGGGCUCAGCCUAACCCGAAUUUUCAAUUAAAAAAAACCUUGUUGUUUUUGCUGCUAUUUUUCCAUAUCUUGGUGUUGUUUUCUCACUUUUUGCCGCUAUUUUACUACCAUUUCACUAUUAUGUUACUACUAUUUUUUUUAAUGUUUGGAUAUAGUAUAAUAAUUGUUUUAUUGUUAAUUUUAUCACUAUUUUAGAGACAUUUGUUUGUUAUGUUGUACUUAUUUUAGUUUUUAUUUAAGUAUAAAAAAAUUUAAAAUUUAUUUUCAAUUUAUUGAUAAACAUGUAAUUUAAUAUUUUCAGUGUAUUUAUUGUAUUAUAUUUGUUAAAUUUAUAUAAAAUUAAAAUUAAAAAAAUAUGGACCGAGAUGGGAGUUUAACAAAAAUUUAGGCCCAUUUUUCAAGUCGGGCCGAUCUCAAACCUAACAAUCGGACUUAAAAUUUUGUUAGAGCUCGGCCCAUCCCAUGAACAACUCUAAUUAUAUAUAUAUGUCAUUCUCUAAUAAUAAUAAUAAUAAUAAUAAUAAUAAGUGGAUAACAUAAAACUAGUAGUAAAGAGUAAGAAGACAAAGAAGAAUUAAGUGGAUAACAUAAAACGUGCGAAAACAUUUAUCUUCAAUUCUGACACAUAAAGCUAGUAUUUUUGGGUAAAGUAUAGAAAUGGUGAUUAAAUUAUUGUUGAUGUUCUAUUUUAAUUUUUAAUUUUUCUAUUUUAGUUAUUAAAUUAUUUGAAAUUAAAUUUUUUGGUUAUCAAAGGUUAACAGUAGUUUGAAAUUUAACAGAAAUAUUGAUGUGAACUUUUCUUAUUGAUUUAAUAAUAAAUUUAGCCUUCUAAUAUUUAUAUAUUCUAUUAAUUUGAUACUAAAUAUAAAAAUUUAACAAAUUUAACCUUCAAUAUUUACAAAUUUUGUUAUUUUAAUUCAAAUUCUAAAAAAAAUUUAAUAAAUUUAACCCUCAACAUUAAAAAAUUUGAUAAAUUUCAAUUUUUAAAAUUUUGUAAAUUCCUAAAAUAUAAAGCAUCAUUCUCCACCUCAUAGGAUUCCAUGUAAAUGGAUUUUCUUGAAUUCUUUACCAAGUUGUCUUGAGUUUAAUUUCUUCUUAUUUAGUUUGUGGAAUAAAUGGCAUAUAGUUAGAUGUCACUGCAGCUGACAAUGAAAGGUUUGACAAAGUUGAUAAAUUCAGAGCUUUUGAUGCUGAGCUUCAAAUCAGUCUUGCCUCCACUCACCCAAGAAAUCAACUUUACAAUUUUUAUUAAGUCUUAACUAGAUUAAUAUGAGUAUUGUUAUCAAUAUAGGAGAAAGUGAAUUUUAGUGCGUUGAAACACAUUAUCUUCUUAUUGAUGAAUUGAGGAGGGGCUAUGAAUAGUUUUAAAUAUUAUAUUAAAAAAGCAGAGAUAAUUGAAACCUACAAUAAUAUUGUUCAAAAAAAUUACCUAAAAACACGAAAUCUUACUCCCUGAAUUUUCUAGAAACACAAAUAUUUCUCCCUGCCUUUGAUGGUGUAUACAUGCAUGGCCAUGUGUGAGCUCCUGCAUUUUAACUAAUCAACACAGAUAAUACCCUCAAUGAGACAUUAAAAUUAACUUUUAUUUUUGUUUUUUCAUAAAUUUUAUAAUUUUGUAUUUCAAUGAAAAAAUCUAAAUCUAAGUUGAUCCGAGUCCAAAAAAAAAUCUGAAGCUGUAAAAAGUUUGAUCUGAGGCUGCUCAUUUGCCACCUCUAAUAACCAUUUGAUAGAGGUUUAAUAUAAAGGAAUUUAGAUUUUAGGAAUUUAUAAAAUUUUUAAAAUUAAUUUUUUAUUUGUAAAUACUAAGGGAUAAAUCUAUUGAAGUUUUUAAAAUUUGAACUGAAAUGUCAAAAUUUGUAAACAUUGAAGGCUAAAUUUGUUUAUUUUUUCUAUUUAAGACCAAUCUGAUAGAAUGUGUACACAUUAGAAGACUAAAUUUAUUAUUAGACCAAUAAAAAAAUGCCCAACUUAACGCUUUCUCAAAUUUCAAACCGAUGUUAAUAUUCAAUGACCAAAAUUUUUUAUUUCAAAUAGUUUAGUGACCAGAAUAGAAAAAAAAUUAAAAGUUUGAUGACCAAAAUAGAACGCGGAUAAUAAUUUAAUGAUAUUUUUAUACUUUAUCUGUUUUUUAUGAUUAUUUAUACAUAUCAAGUGGAGCUAAUUUAGGGAAAAGAAUCAAUGGUUAAGGUUGUUGUUGAUACUUAAUGAUCAGGGUCCAAAUUUUGCUAAUGUAAUUUUCCUUAUCAUAAUUUGUAUCUUAAUUUUGUUACCAAAAAAAUAUUAGUAAUAAAUAAUAUAUGCUCGAGAAAUGUACGUAUGAUUGAUUUAAACAAUACAUGUUGGAGUAAUUUACAUAUGGAUUUAAAAUAAAUUUUAAAAAUAAAAUAAAAUUUUAAAAAUCCAAAAGUAUUUUUUCUUUUAAAAAAAUUUAAAAAUAAUUUUUAAAUUAUUUACAUGAUUGAUUUAAAGGAUUUCUUUCUAUUAAUUAUUUUUAUAUUAAAUUUAUUUUCCUUUAUGUAUAACAUUUAAAGGGUUUGUAUAUAUGCUAACUCGCGAGUCAAUUAAAAUUUGUAUUAUAUUCAUUGAAUUUUUUUAAAAUAUAUAUUUUAUUAAUUUAUUUAUUUAUUUGAGACCCAUGAUAAACUUGUAUUUAAAGUUAUUGGUGCACACUAUAAAUUCAUAUAUUGAAAAUGAUAGGUGCUAAAAGUAACAUGUUUUAGUCUCAUUCUUAAUGUGUUUUUGGAUGAUUAUUCGAUAUAAAAUGGUUAAUUUUAUGCUACUAAACUUUUCAAUUUACGUUCUACACUUAAUAGAGCAUUUAGGAGCAAAAGAAGCGAAAAACGAGCGAAAAUAAAAAAAAUAGGAGCAAGUCUCAAAAGCCACACAGGCUGAGCCAUUCCACACGGGUUGGACACAUAACCGAGUGAGCCACACGACCAUGUGCUAGACUGUGUGGAAAUCGCAAAUUACACUCCAAACGGCGUGAAAACACGUUAAUUUUAAGGUUUUUUAAGCAUUUUAAUACCUAUACAUGACAAAGAUAAGAAGAGGGGAGAGAGUCGUCAGAAAAUAUUAAAGAAAACAACUUAAAAAACACCAUUGAAGCUAACUUUGAAGCAAAUUUUCAUCAAGAUUGAAGAUCUCAUUUUGAUUUUUUUGAAGUUUAUUAUGAGUUUCUUUAUUUAUUGUAGUUAUACUGUCUUUAGGAUGUUUUUAUUUGCUAUCAUGAACGAAUUUUCUAAAUACCUAGGGAGAUGAAUCCUAUCAUGAAUUAUGUUAUUUGAUUUCUAUUUUUACGUAAUAAAGACUUAGAUCUUAUUCUCAAUUAUGUGUGCUUAAUUCUUGGUUUAAUAUUUCUAGACUAUUAAUCAAUGUUUGAUGUGCUUAAAUCAGAGGAGGAAUAAACCCUAUUUAAGAGUAGAUCUAGCGUAAAUGAGUGGAGUUGCAUGCAAUCCUAGAAAUAGGACAACAUAAAUCUACCGUAAUAGAUCCAAAUCUAAUAGGGGAAUCUAUAGAUCGAGUUAAUACGAUGAUAGAGGUUUUAAUUAGAAAUAAAUUUCAGUUAAUUAACCUAGAGUCAGUUACUCUUAGUCUUGAAGAGAUAUAUUAGCAUAAUUUAGGGAUUUUUACAGAUCAAUAUUCUAAGUGACGAAGUUGUGUAAUAUAGAUUGAUAAUGACAUAUGAAGUCUAGGUAGAUUCUUUCCUAGGUAUUGUCUCGCUCUUGGUUAUUAUUUGAUUAUUUUCUUGAUUUGUGCUUUGUUGUGUUAUUUAGUUAACUAAUUUAGUUAAUUUUAGUUCCAACCAAUCACUCCAAUUUAUCAGUUAAAUAAUAGAAAAGACGGUAAUUACUGGUACUUUUAGUCUUUGUGAAAACGAUAUCUUUGCUCACUAUAACUAUACUAUUAAUUGAUGUGCACUUGUCUGAGUUAGAUUUUUAGUUGGUUUACGACUGCAAUCAAAAAACUCAUUAAGUUAGCACAAACUAAGUUAAUUAUUCGUUGGUUGCUUUAUUUUUUUUCCUGAAGUUUCGAUUUCAUCUUUCAUUAUGUACAACAAUUUUGGUAUAAAAAUAUCAAAUUCUCGACACUUAAUAUAUACCUUUGAAAUAUAAACACAUGCAUCAAUUUUUUUAGGUUCCUCACAACUUACUUGUCCAAAAUUCUUGUAUCUUUCAGUUCUCCUGAUUGAAUCAAAAUUUGACUUUGUAAUUAUUUUUUAAGGACCUCAAACUAUCAAUUUAUAGUAUAAAUUUUCAAUAGCUUUCAUUCUUUACAAAUUGGUCCCUAAUUAAUCAACAAUGGUAUUAAAGCUUAAGCUUAGGGUCCCGUUGUUUCACUGAAAAUGGCUUUCGAAAAAUAAUUUCUAGAAAAUGACUUACUUUCCUAGAAAAGUUAAUAUUUUCUGAUGUUUGGAUGAAUCAGUGUAAAAUAUUUUAUAUUGUUUGACAAAUUUCUUAAAAAUAUUUCAUAAAAGCUGUUUUCAAUGAAACAAACAUGCAUUUGAGAUUUUCUUAUCUUUUCAUUGUUUAAUUAAGUUUAUCUUAUAUCUAUAAAUUUAUAUUUUACAUUUUUUUGCAUAUAAUAAAAAUAUAUAUUUUUUAAUUCAGGUUCACUACCAUGUCACUUUUUAGUUACAUGACUACCAAGUGAGUAUUUUUUUUAUUUAAAAAUGUGACAUCAACAAAAUUGACAAAAAAAAAAUUUAGCAAUGUCAACAAUUGGACUUGAUUUUCAAAUCUGAAAAGUAGAGGGACUAAAUUCUUGAAAAUAAAAGUAUAGAGACUAAAUUGAAAAUUUGUGAAGAAUACAUAGACUUAUCACAUUUUUUAACUUUUAUACUACAAAAUAUUUAUCAUUAAUAUAUUUAUAAUUAUAAUAAAUAUUUAUUAUUAAAAUAUUAAUAUUAAAUAUUUUCAAUAAGAAGAAUAUUAUUUAAAAUUAUUUUUUUUAAUUUUUUAUUAAAAUAAAAUUGAAAUAUUAAAUAAUUUAUUAAAAUAAUUAAUUUUAUUAAUAAUUAAUUUUAUGACUAAAUAUAAAUAAUUAAAUAUGUGUGUUUAAUAAUAUUGAAAUAUAUAAUAUUUUAUAUUAAUAUUUUAAAUAUUUUUAAAAAUAAAAAUAAAAUUUAUUUUCAAUAUAAUAAUAUUAAUAUUGAUUUAAAUGAAUUUUUAUAUAAAAAUAAAAUUACCUAUAGAUGAGCUCUUUUCCAGAAAAUGACUUACACUUUUCAAAAGGAUAAGUCAUUUUAUAGGAAAAAGAGUUCAAUUUUACAUUGACCUGUAAGUCAUUUUCCGAUGACCAAAAUGUUUUCUGUAAAAUAAACAUAAGAAAAUGAAGAAAAUAUUUUCCGUAAAACCUUUUACAUGUAAACAAACGGACCCUUAAUUCAAGCUUGUUCUAACAUAACCCACUUCACUAUUAGCAUGACUCUUCCUUAUACUAUGUUUAACCAUUAACCCUUCUCAUGAUUUCUAACAAAAAUUCUCUAAGUUCUCUUUAAUGGAAACUUCUAUUAGCUUCAACAAUAAGAAAUUCUAACCAUUGGGUUGGUUGUAUCAAGUUUCAUAGUUUAAAAAACUAUAAAAAAAUUAUUUAGAAAACAAUUUGUUUACCUUUGAUGGCCUUGAUGGAGAACAACUUGGUUUCUUCUUCUACUUAGUUUAAAGAAUGCAUGAAGAAGAAGAAGAUUUCCCCUCUCCCUCUAUCUUAAAUAUAUAUAUAAAUAACCUAUUAAUCAAGGUAAUUAACUCACUAAUUAAUCUUAAUUAGUUAUGAUCUAAUGGCCAUAAACUUACCAUAAGAAAAUUAGUGGAAAUGUGUGGCAUUGAUAAUGGUUUGCCAAUAAUCAAACUUCGGGCAUGGUAAUAUUGCAAUCAGGUCCUUGGUUUAAUUACACUUUAAGUACUUGCUAAAUUCUCUAAUCAAUUCCCACUAGUUGGAUCACUUGAACAAUUGGGUCCAUGUAUUAUAGUUACAACUUAUCUAAUUUAAUCAAUUAAUGAUUUGACUUUAUAAUUUCAUGUGCAACACACAAACUCCUCCGGUAAAUUCUCAAGCUAGCUUUAUUUAAAAAUUUGGCCUCAAAACCAGCUUUCCAAAUGUUCAUGAAAAUUGAGUUGUUACAUUAUGGUAUUUGUUUUGUUCAGCUUAUUUGUCAAGCUCUAUUCCUUUGAACUUAUGUUCGUUGACUUUGGUGUUGCUUAAAUGAAAAUGUGGUGAACAAUAUUAUGGAUAGGAGGAGUGUAUGAUUGAGUAUGUGUAACACCCCUAACCCACAUCCUUCGCCAAAUUAAAGUGACAGAGUGUUAUUAUUCAAAACAGAACAUUCCAUGACAACACAUAAACAAUUAUGCAAAUUAUCACAAUCAUUAAUUAACCAUAUUAAAAUAUAACAUAAGUAUCCAUACGACCUUUAAAUCGAGCUUAUAUGGCCUUAAAAAUAGCUUGGGAUCAAUCUAGGAUCAAUUUGGAACAUAACAUAAAUUUUAAGAAAAAUCUAAAAAUUUUGGGAAACAUGGGUCACACAACCGUAUGUCCAGGCCGUGUGACAUAGCCCAGACCUUGUGGGAAUUCAAAAUCAGGACACUCAAUCAUGUCCUAGCCCGUAUGUCUACCUGUGUGAAUAUUUGAAAUAGGGUCCCACAGUCGUGUCGCGGCCAUGUGCUAAACCGUGUAUAUAUUCAAAUUAUGAACACAUGGCCGUGUCGCAAGCCAUGUGCUAGACCGUGCUCAAAACUAUUUUGAGACACACAGCUGUGCCUUAGGCUGUGUGAAAUUUUCACUUUAGACAACGACACACAGCCGUGUGCCAGACCAUGUACACCAAAAUGUACCUUAAAAAUCAAAUUUACCAAAACAUGUUUACUUAGGCAUCAAGCAACCUAAUUACCAUCAAUCAAACUCAUUCAAAACACAAUUAAACAGGUUCAAAACAUCCAUCCUAAGUGCCUAGCCAUUGUGCCCUCAUUGACAUCAUAAUUCAAUAAUCAAAUCAAUCACAUUUAAACCAAGAUUUAAACAUUCAAAUUAUAAAAUCAUCAUUAACCAUUCAUACCAAAACACUGAUCAUUUCAAGUCAUAAACACCUAGCAAUAUUCACAUACUUUAUAAAGCUUAACUACCAAUACCAAAUAAGAUCCAUACACACAUACAUACCAAACAAAACACAUAUUCACAAGUAUCAUUCAAGAUUUACAACUUUACAUGUAAUUAACAUAAUUUCAAGUCAAUUAUUACAUGUCAUACAACCCAAAACAAACACUAAACAAACUACCAAUAGUUUCUCGAAUAGUGUGAUUCUUGAAAUCAAAUUGAUCACCCGAAGCGUCAAAAAUAAAUCUACAAGAAAGCAUUGGAAGAGACACAAGAGUAAGCUUACUUAAGCUUAGUAAUUUCCAUGGAUUUAAACAAUCAACUUACCGGAUAAACUUAUCUAAUAUAGAGUAUAGAAAAGUCAUAAAUCAUAAUCAUGUCAUCCAUAAUCAGAUCACGAGUGAGUCUUAAACUUAAAUAUGAAUGAAUUAAUUCAAUCAAUUACAUUAUAUCACUAAAUUAUACCCGAUGAACGUUGCAAUGGAUUUGGAUACACAGUUAACCAACCAAACACUCCAAAUCACUCAAAUGAGCUAGCCAUCUGAAAGUACACAUGGGCACCAAGUGCCAAGCCCAUAGGCUAACAUCCCUCCGAAACACACCUUGUCACCAAGUGCCAAGCCCGUAAGCUUUACAUCUGCCCCAGAAACACACCUGAAGCACUGCAAUAUAACGUAAUAGUUCGCAACAAAUGUUGAACUUCAAUAUAUUCAAUAAACAUGAAUAAGAUCAGAAUCAUCAUCUCCACAUCCACCAAUCUCGUAAAGCGCACGAUAUAACUUAUUGACAUGCCAAUUGUAUCCUAUCAUACAUUCAUCGGCUCACAUAUUUGUCAUUUAACAACAUUUAAUACAAUUUCUUUCCCAAAUCAUUUCACUUACCACAAUUCAAUACUUCCAUGUCAUUUAAUAAUUUCAAUCCACAAGUAAUUAAAUAUUUAAAUUAUACUAAAAUUAAACUGUACAAACUCACUAGGGCCAAAUUGCAGAAACAACAAAAGUUCAGGGACUAAUCAACAACCUUCCCUUUUUCCACAAUUAUCAACUUGAUCUUGAUCUAUAAUAUAAUUUAUUUCAAUUAUUAGCCUCAAUUUUCAUAUUCUAAUCAUUUCAAAACAUAUGAUCUCUUAUUUAUAAAUUUACACAUUUAUCCCAAAUUUUUACAUAUUAUACAAUUUAAUCCCUAUGACCAAAUCAAGCUUAGUUCUACAAUUAAAUUCUCAAUCCAUAGAACUAAAUUUUAACCACAUCCAAAACAAUCCAUAUAUGCUAAAAUUUUCAAGAGUAACAUGUCUAUUUCAGUUAAAUCACUAAACAUCAAAUUUUGUAAAAAUCACUUACAAACUCAAUACAUAUGGUCACCAAGCUUCAACCCAAACUAUUUACUACUACAAAUCUUCGAAAAUUUCAAUACAUAAUUUCUAUACUUUGAUAACUUCACAAAUAAACUCCAAAACUAGCUAAAUUCCAUUAUCAAUAGCUCAAAACUUAAAAUUUGAUGAUGAAUAAACCAAGAAAAUACUUACAUGCAUUAAAAACUAACAAAAACCAAGAUCCAAGCCUUAGAACAAUGGUGUUUCGGCCAAACCUAAGAAAAAUAAAGAAGAUGACCACUACCCCACUUUUGUUUUACUUUCCUUUUAUUAUUAUAAUAAUCUUUAUUUAUGAAAUUAUAACAUUAUAAAACACCAAUUUAAUUUUUUUUCUCUCUUUACCGCCCAUAUUAACUAACUAUGGGCUAAUGGCAACAUAACCUCCCUUAGUUUACUAAUUUAAGCUAUUAUAUUAAAAUAAAUCUAUAAUAAGCAACUUUUCCACCUAUUACAUAUUAAUCUUUUUUCUUUAAUCAAUUCACUAUACGUUAAAUUUUCUAAACCAAAACUUAAUACGACACUGAUGACUUUGUAAAUAUUAAAUAAUUAAUAAUUCUAGACUGACACGUCGAAAGUGUAGUCCUAAAACUAUUAUUUUCGACACCACUGGAAAUCGAACUGUUAUAGUAUGAUUCUACCUCUUAGGGGGAGACGUAUUCUAGUUUCCUUUGACUUGUUUAGAUGAUGUGUUAAUCAUUUGCUACUGGUUUUGUCAAAAUGCCAAAUGGUGAGAUUGUUUCAAACUUUGUUCAUGUUCGAACAUUAGAUUAAACAAUGCUUAAUUUGAUGCAUUCAAAGAAUUUAUGUUGGCAUGUUUGACUUUAUAAUGAAAUGGCUUAUGAUUUAAUCUCGUUGAGUAGCAAAUGGGGAAGUGAUUUUGUGUUAUAACAUGUGAUGAUCAUUAUCUUUCAAUCAACUACCUUGAAGAAGAAUGGGAGGAGUUUGAACUUUUGUGGACUUUCGUAAUAUUUGAAGCUGCUAAGAUACUUGUUUAUAAAGACUUUUAUGAUAUAACUAAUCAAAAUAAUUCAUGUCAGAAUUUUUGGAGUUUUAAACUUAUGAAGACUCUAGUAUUGGCCUAUAAAUAGGCAUAAUUACCGCACAUUGAAAAUAGGCUUUUGGAGGGUUUAAGUUGGAUGCUUUGGUGAAUUUUUCCUGUGUUUUAUACAACACUCUUUUUUAAGUUUUUAUUGGGGGAUAUUUGCUUGAUUGUAAGUGAGAUAUUUUGGAGAGAGUGAUUUGUAAUAAUUUAGGUUCAAUAUUGAAGUUGCAAAUAACUACAAGGUAAUGGUAAUUUGGACUCUAGUCAAUAGUUAAUCAAGACGAAUUGUAAAUAAAAAUUAUUUUUUAAGUGAAACUUUACAGAAUAAAACUAGUGAACUCAAACUACGCUAACAAAUAUUAUAUACUAUCUUUCCUUACUUUACUCGUUGCUUUACCUUAUUUUAAAAUUGCUUUGUCAUAAAUGUAUUAUGUUUGACCCUUUCCGAUCGAAAUAAAAAAAUGAGAUUGAAAUUGUGAUAAAGCUAAAAAAAAGUUACAACAAAUAUGAUUAAUAUUAUUUUUAUAUAUACUUACUAAAAUUUAAAAAGGAAUUACAUUUAUCGAAUAUUAUUUUAUUUAAUAAAUAUAAUUAAUAUAUUUUAUAUAAAAUUUAAACUUUUUAUUAUUUGUUAGCUAAAUUUUAUUAUUUUUAUUUUCUUUAUGAAUAAAAUUAAUUUUCCUAAAAUUUGAGAUAAAAAAAUGUUAUAUAGAAAAUUAAAUUAGUAAAAAGUGCAGUUCAUACUUUAUAAUUAUUAUAAAUGAAAAAAUAUUAUAAAAGAUAAAUAUUAAACAUAAAAAAAUCAAUUCUAAAAUAAACUUAACUAUUAUAAUAAAAUAUUUUUAUAUAAAAAAGAAAUUAUAGAAAAGACUUACUGAUUAUAUUUCCAAUUUUCGACAUUCAUAAAAAAAAAGUGGUCCUAAUAAUUUAUUUAUACAAAAAAAAAAGUGGUCCUAUUAAUUAACCUCACAUUUGAAAUGUGUUAUAUGUAAUAAUAUUAAUAUCUUUAUCAAUUUUGGAGGUUCAUCCUUUCCCAUCUCUAUAAAUUCGCAUGGAGAAAUAAAGCAAUACAUCAACACAAUCUGUAUAACCAUGAAAACCACAACAGCUUCAGUGUUUCUUCUUUUCAUCAUCUUCUCAGUCACACCAUCAUCCUUUUUGUUUGGUGUAGCCAACGCUACAAACGAACCUGUACUCGACUUUGAUGGCAACGAGGUUCAAACAGGCACCCCAUAUUACGUUGUGUCGUACAUAUGGGGUGCUGGUGGUGGGGGGCUUGACCUAGGCAGGCCUAGUGGAAACCCAUGCCCGGAAGUCGUUGCUCAAAGAGGAUCCGGUGACAAUGGUAUUCCGGUGAUAUUUUCUAAUUCGGACUCCAACGAUGGCGUUGUUCGCCUAUCCUCUGACAUAAACAUAGAGUUCAUUUCCCUCAGACCCAAACUUUGCCGAACAACAACAGUGUGGAAGGUCGAUGAUUACGACCAUUCAGCCGGAAAAUGGUGGGUGAUAACCGAUGGGGUUAAAGGGAACCCAGGUGCCAACACUUUGACCAGUUGGUUUAGAAUAGAGAAGGUGGGUACUGAUUUUCAAUAUUACACAUUUAAGUACUGCCCCGCAGUAUGUGGAACAUGCCCAGCCUUAUGCAACCAAAUUGUGAGAGACUUUGAUGGAGAAAUGGUACGUUUGGCUCUCACCACUGGCCAUGGAUGGCCAUUUAUCUUUAAGAAAGUUGGAAAAUCAGCCAUGGAGAUUGAACAAGUUGUUCAUAAUUAGAUUGAAAGCAAUCAUUAUGCAUGAACUAGUAGUUACUACAUAAUAUUAGCUUCAAGUAAAUAAUGCUGAGGGAACUUAUUGUUAAGAUUGCCUUGUUUGAAGCGGCAGCAUGUAUAUAUAUAUGCUUGCUUACAAGGUUUGUCUCUCAGAGUCCUCCUCUUUGUACUCUUUUCAGCUUAAUGAAUAAACUGUUUACUUAUUUACUUCUUUUGUUGCCAUUGAUUCUAGUAGCAUUCGACUCAUUAACUUGGAUACAUUACCUUGUAAUUAACCAAAAAGUUAUGUGUAUAUAUAUAAAGAGUGUGUGAGAGAAAAAAUAGAAUACCAAGUACCAAGUGAAAAAUGUUAAUACUAGGAUUAUUCAAAGCGAUUUCAAUGAACAGAAAUGGAAUAGUCGUCGGGUGGUUAGGGCAUUUUAUCUUUAGAGAUAAAGAAGGUUGGUUCAUGUUCGGAGUUUGUGGCUACUCCUUCAAUAAUAUCGUUUUUAAAGUUUAAACUUGUAUCACAUUUUAAACACGUAAUGUAUCUUACCAUUACAUCCAACAAUAUUAACCAUUUACUCUAUUGUAUUGUAUUGUAUUCUAUUAUUAAUUAAUGAUUAUGAUAUGUAUUAAGUUUAAGAUGAAUUUUCUCAGUAAUAUAUAUCAAUGGAAUCAAAUAUUUGUAUUUAAAGUUUUAACUCCACAUUAACUUUUUCUUUAUUUUGUCCGUUUGCUGGCGAUGAUUAGGAGAUUAAUGGUUGGUAUUUGUGGUUAGUAGGUUAUAACUCAAUAGUGAACUCGAGGGUUGAUAGUGGCCCGACUCCACUUAAAUAAAAAAUUUUACAUUUAAAUCUCUUUAUAAUUUAUAAAAUUUUAAAUUAAUAAUAAAAAAAUUAUAUUUUAACUCUCUAAAAUUAAUAAAAAUGAUAAAAAUGUAGAAGUAAAUUUAUACAAUUAAUGAUAAUAAUGAUAAGAAGUUGUUUCCUGUCACAUGGAAAUUUAUGGCAUCGUCCAUUUGGUUUUAUAUUUGUCCAUUUGCUUGGUUAAGAGUUGAAAGACAAACUAUAAUUAAGUAUACAAAACCAAACGAAUUUCAAGGGUUUUCUCUUCAAUUAUUGUCGAAUUUAGCUAAUUAUUAGUAAUUUUUAUUAUUUAAUUAUAAAAAUUAUAAAAUAAUGACUUAAUUAUAAGAAUUAUAAAAUAGUGACUUAAUUAUAAAAAUAUAUAUAAAUAGCCAUCUAAUUAUUUAAUUUUUUUUCUUUUUUAUCAUCACCGGAUUAAUGGUGGUAAUUUUUAUAAUUGACAUAAUAGUAACUUUAACCAUUAAUAAUUAUACAUUAUGUCAAUUUAGUCUUGAUUCUAAAAAAUUUAACCUUUGACAUUUACACAUAUAUAAUUUGACAUUUUUAUAAUUUUAUUUUUUACUAAAAAUAAAUCAUGAAAAUAAUAAAAUAUGCAUAAAAAUAAAAAUACAGCUACCGAGUAUAUGUCUUAAUGUAGAUUUAUAACAAUUAUCUUUUCAUAAAGAUAUUUUAUUAUAAAAUAUAUAAUAAGCACUUCCCUGUAACAAAUAAAAUUGUAGUAAACAAAUGAAAUUAUUAUAAAGAAGAAUUUUCUAUUUUCAUAAUAAUAAUAAUAAUAAUAAUAAUAAAAGAAAAGAAAAAAGUGGUUCUAUUAAUUCACCUCACAUUUGAAAUGUGUUAUAUGUAAUAAUAUUAAUGUCUUUAUCAAUUUUGGUGGUUCAUCCUUUCCCAUCUCUAUAAACACUACACCAGAAUAGGUUUUUAGCGGCGUUUUUUAGGCCUUUAGCGACGCUUAUUAACGCCACUAAAUCUAUUUCCGGCACUUACAAAAAAAAGCCGCUAAAGAUCAUGUUCUUUAGCGGCGCUUAGGAAAAAACGCCGCAAAAAAUCAUGUUCUUUAGCGGCGCUUAGAAAAAAACGCCGCUAAAGAUCAUGUUCUUUAACGGCGCUUAGAAAAAAACGCCGCUAAAGAUCAUGUUCUUUAGCGGCGCUUUGGAAGAAAACACCUCUAAAAGUAAUGUUCUAUAGCGGCGCUUGUUCAAAAACGCCGCUAAAAGUAGUGUUCUUUAGCGUCGCUUGUUUCACAAACGCCACUGUUUUGAUAUGACUUUUAGCGGCGCUUUUUUAAAAAAUGUCACUAAUUUUGGGAUUUUUUUAAAAUAAAAUUUUCUGUUUUUUUCAGCCCUCCUGCAACAACAAAUCAAAAGCAACCAGAUCUAAACUAACCAAAAAUAAUAAAUUUAUAUAAUAUUUCAAAUUAAAUGAAUAAAAUAAUAUUAAUUGAUAUAAAUAAAAGUGAAUUUCAGACUUUUCUUUACAAAAACGUUAAAAGUAUUUAUGCAACAUACACUAUGACGGCGGAAGUUGCGACUGCUGAAACAUCUUCAUCAUAAUCUAAAGCUGCUGUUGAAGUUCGUCGUACUUUUUGCUCUACUUUGCUUCUCUCGAUGCCGCAUCUUUUUGAAGCCGUAGCUGUAGUUCUUCACAUUUCUUUUGAACCUCUGCUUCUAUCGCUGCUUAUCUCGCUACGGCAUCUGCUUCCCUCACUGCUGCCUCUGAUUUAAGUUGUUGCUGAAGUUCUUCAUAUUUCCUUUGAACCUCAAAUGUGGUCGCUUGCAUCUGAGUCAUCUAGUCUUUUAACCUCUGAACUUCAGCUUGAGACUGACUCCCCGAAGCCAUGUAUUGGUGCGAGCUGGAUCCAAAAUAUUGGGUUGGGCUGAUAAAAGAUCCUUGAAAUCGAACCCGACCAUACUUUUCAGGACCCAAAACUUUAGUAAUAAUCCGGUUAUCAAUGUCUUCAAGAUGAAUAGAACUAUCACUAGAAGCAAUCGUUUCGUACUCUGUCUUUUUUUCCUUCAGUUUUUCCUAAUAAAUAAAUCACAUAGUUAGGAACGCAAUAUAUAGUAAAAAAAACAAAUGCAAUAUAACAAUAGUCGCAUUACAAGCAAUGAAUUAAACCAUUAGAAAAUAAACACUAUAAAUAACUAAAACAAGUGAAAUCGUAUUAAGUAAACGUACCAUAAUUUCACCAGCUUCAGGAGUCAUAGCAGAUCCAUCUUUCUUCUUAUGUGUAAUUUCAAAAAGUUGAAGGCGUCCAACUUUUUGAUCGGACGACCGUUCCUACAACACUCUUUUUUAAGUUUUUAUUGGGGGAUAUUUGCUUGAUGUAAGUGAGAUAUUUUGGAGAGAGUGAUUUGUAAUAAUUUAGGUUCAAUAUUGAAGUUGCAAAUAACUAUAAGGUAAUGGUAAUUUAGACUUUAGUCAAUAGUUAAUCAAGACGAAUUGUAAAUAAAAAUUAUUUUUUAAGCGAAACUCUACAGAAUAAAACUAGUGAACUCAAACUACUGAACUCAAACUACGCUAACAAAUAUUACAUAUUAUCUUUCCUUACUUUACUUGUUGCUUUACCUUAUUUUAAAAUUGUUUUGUCAUAAAUGUAUUAUGUUUGAACCUUUCCGAUCGAAAUAAAAAAAAUGAGAUUGAAAUUGUGAUAAAGCUAAAAAAAGGUUACAACAAAUAUGAUUAAUAUUAUUUUUAUAUAUACUUAAUAAAAGUUAAAAAGGGAAUUACAUUUAUUGAAUAUUAUUUUAUUUAAUAAAAUAUAAUUACUAUAUUUUAUAUAAAAUUUAAAUAUUUUAUUGUUUGUUAGUUAAAUUUUAUUUUUUUUUAUUUUCUUUAUGAAUAAAAUUAAUUUUCCUAAAAUUUGAGAUAAAAAAUGUUAUAUAGAAAAUUAAAUUAGUAAAAAGUUAAAAAAAUCAAUUCUAAAAUAAACUUAACUAUUAUAAUAAAAUAUUUUUAUAUAAAAAAAAAGAAAUUAUAGAAAAGACUUAUUGAAUAUAUUUCCUAUUUUCGACAUUCAUAAAAAAAAAAAAGUGGUCCUAAUAAUUUUUUUAUACAAAACAAAAAAAAGUGGUCCUAUUAAUUUACCUCACAUUUGAAAUGUGUUAUAUGUAAUAAUAUUAAUAUCUUUAUCAAUUUUGGAGGUUCAUCCUUUCCCAUCUCUAUAAAUUUGCAUGCAGAACUAAAGCAACACAUAUCAACACAAUCUGUAUAACCAUGAAAACCACAACAGCUUCGGUGUUUCUUCUUUUCAUCAUCUUCUCAAUCACACCAUUGUCCUUUUCGUUUGGUGUGGCCAACACUUCAAACGCUCCUGUGCUCGACAGUGAUGGCAACGAGCUCCGCACAGGCACCCCAUACUUCGUUGUGUCGUCGAUAUGGGGUGCUGGUGGUGGGGGGCUUGCCCUAGGCAUGCCUAGAGGAAAGCCAUGCCCGGAAGUCGUUGCUCAAAGAGGAUCUGGUGACGAUGGUAUUCCGGUGAUAUUUUCUAAUUCGGACUCCAACGAUGGCGUUGUUCGCCUAUCCUCUGACAUAAACAUAGAGUUCAUUCCCCUCAGACCCAGAUUUUGCCAAACAACAACGGUGUGGAAGGUCGAUGAUUACGACCACUCAGCCGGAAAAUGGUGGGUGAUAACCGAUGGGGUUAAAGGGAACCCAGGUGCCAACACUUUGACCAGUUGGUUUAGAAUAGAGAAGGCGAGUCAUCUUGAUUACACAUUUAAGUACUGCCCCGCAGUAUGUGGAACAUGCCCGGCUUUAUGCAACAAAAUUGCGAGAGACUUAGAUGGAGAAAUGAUGCGUUUGGCUCUCUCCACUGACCAUGGAUGGCCAUUUUUCUUUAAGAAACUUCAAACAUCAGCCAUGGAGAUUGAACAAGUUGUUCAUAAUUAGAUUGAAAGCAAUCAUUAUGCAUGAACUAGUAGUUACUAUACAAUAUUAGCUUCAAGUAAAUAAUGCUGAGAGAACUGAUUGUUAAGAUUGCCUUGUUUGAAGCAGAAGCAUGCAUAUAUAUAUGCUUGCCUACAAGGUUUGUCUCUCAGAAUCCUCUUUGUACUCUUUUCAGCUUAAUAUAUAAACUGUCUACUUAUUUACUUCUUUUAUUAAUGUCAUUGAUUCUAGUAGUAUUAGACUCAUUAACUUGGAUACAUUGUCUUGUAAUUAACCCAAAAAUUAUAUAUAUAUCAAAAAAAAAAAUGAGAGUGAGAGAGGAAAAUAGACUACCAAGUAACAAGUGAAAAAUGGUAAUACUAGGGUUAUUUAGAGUGGUUUCAAUGCACAACCGGAAUGAAUUGUUACCUUAUCUUUAGAGUCAAAGAAGGGUUCGUGACUAGUCUUUCAACAAUACUAUUUUCAAGGUUCAAACCUGCAUUAUCCUUUAAAUACGUAAUGUAUUUUAUCAUUACGCUCAAUAUUAUUAGUGAUUUACUUUAUUCUAUUCUUAAUUAAUAAUUAUGAUAUAUAUAAAGUUUAAGAUGGAUUUUCUUAUUUAUGUAUAUCAAUUAAAUCAAAUAUUUGUAUUUAAAGUUUUAACCCAACAUUAACUUUUUUUUUAAAAAUUUCUUCGUUUGUUGGUGGUGAUUAGGAGAUUGAUGGCCGGUCUUUGUGAUUGGUAGCUUUUAACACAAUGGCGAAGCUAAGGAGGCUUUAAAUGUUUAAAUGAAUAUUUUUUUCAAUUGAAAUUUCUUUAUAAUUUAUAAAAUUUUAAAUUAAUAAUGAUAAAAUUACAUUUUAAUUUUUUAAAAAUGAUAAAAACGUGGAAGCACAUUUGUACGAUUAAUAAUAAUGAUAAUAUUUUUCCUACCACAUGGAAGUUUAUGGAAACACCAUUGGGUUUUGUAUUUAUGUUUUAUUCGACACUCUUAUAAGUUUUACUGGGGAGAUUUGUUUGAUUGUAAGUGAGGUAUUUUGCGGAGAGUGAUUUAUAAUAAUUUAAAAUUAAUAUUGGGGUUACAAAUAACUAUGGGAGUAAAGUAGUUUAGACUUUAGCUAAUAAUUGAUCAAGAUGGAUUGUAGAAUAAAAUCAUUUUCGAAGCAAAAUUUUAUAAAAUUAGUAAAUCUGAAUUAUUCUAUAAUAUUGAUAUUAUCUUUCUUCACUUUAGCCCUUGCUUCACCUUAUCUCAAAAUUAUUCUAUAAUAAUCUAUUUUGUCUCAACCUUUUCAACAGAAUUUAAAAUGAAACUAUUUCUAUGAAGUGCAAACCAAAAACUUUUUCACAUACCAAUAAAUGGCAAGCAACCAUACCGUGGGCCCAAUGUCCCAACAAUCAUCUAAACAUUUUUUUUUUCUUUUUUAAAUAAUAUGUAAUAAUUUAUAUACCAUAAAUGAAUAUUAAUUAAAAUAAUAUAAACAAAAUACGACUCUUUAAUAUAAUAUGGAUCCAAAAUGUUUCAUAUUUGAAAUGCAGUUUUUGAUAAUUUCACAUUUCAUAUUUUAUCUUAGAACAAAAAGAAAAUUUGAACUUAAUAUUUGGACUAUUGAUCAAUGGUGUUUAUUAUAUUUCAAGACUAUCAGAUUAAUCUGUCGAUACUACUUAUAUGGUAUGGUUUAAAUGGGUGUGUGUGGAUAUAGAAAUUUGAAAUUCUAUUGUAUCAAAGAAAUUUUUUUUAAAAAUAAAAUAAAAAGGAAUUUGAAAUUUAAAAUUUGAGAUCAAAAUAAAAAAAAUGAGACUUGUUAUAAACCAUAAGGCUCAAAAAAGGUUACAACAAAUAUGGUUAAUAUUAUUUUUAUAUAUACUUAAUAAAAGUUUAAAAUAUCAAAUUUGUAAUAUUAUUUUUAUUUAAUAAAAUAUAAUUAAUAUAUUUUAUAUAAAAUUUAAAUAUUUUAUUGAAAUAUUAUGUUAGGUAAAUUUUAUUAAUUUUAUUUUCUUUAUAAAUAAAAUUAAUUUUAUUAAAAUUUGAGAUAAGAUAAUUAAAUUAAUAAAAGGUAUACUUCAUAUUUUAUAGUUAUUAUAAAUAAAAAAUUAUUAUAAAAAUUAAAAAAAAAGAAUUCUACAACAUAAUGAAAUAUUUUUAUUAAAAAAAACAGAAAUGAUUGAUGGAAUAUAUUUCCAAUUUUCGACGUUCAUUAAAAAAAAAAGAGUGGUCCUAAUAAUUGAUUUAUUGGGGAAAAAAAAGUGGUCCUACUAAUUUACCUCACAUUUGAAAUGUGUUAUAUGUAAUAAUAUUAAUAUCUUUAUCAAUUUUGGAGGUUCAUCCUUUCCCAUCUCUAUAAAUUCGCAUCGAGAAAUAAAGCAAUACAUCAACGCAAUCUGUAUAACCAUGAAAACCACAACAGCUUCAGUGUUUCUUCUUUUCAUCAUCUUCUCAGUCACACCAUCAUCUUUUUUGUUUGGUGUAGCCAACGCUACAAACGAACCUGUACUCGACAUUGAUGGCAACGAGGUUCAAACAGGCACCCCAUAUUACGUUGUGUCGUCCAUAUGGGGUGCUGGUGGUGGGGGGCUUGCCCUAGGCAGGCCUAGCGGAAACCCAUGCCCGGAAGUCGUUGCUCAAAGACGAUCCGGUGACGAUGGUAUUCCGGUGAUAUUUUCUAAUUCGGACUCCAACGAUGGCGUUGUUCGCCUAUCCUCUGACAUAAACAUAGAGUUCAUUCCCCUCAGACCCAAACUUUGCCGAACAACAACGGUGUGGAAGGUCGAUGAUUACGACCAUUCAGCCGGAAAAUGGUGGGUGAUAACGGAUGGGGUUAAAGG